Long non-coding RNA from Bombyx mori (domestic silkworm), 1271 nucleotides. RefSeq lists it as uncharacterized. The record is from RefSeq and is a predicted model, not a curated record. NCBI's taxonomy places the organism in Eukaryota, Metazoa, Arthropoda, Insecta, Lepidoptera, Bombycidae. The transcript is spliced from 2 exons.
UAUUUGUCAAACACCCUUUCGAGUUCUUUCAAGUGUAAUUUAAUAUACCUGGAUGGAUUUAAUUAUAUUAAAACCUAUUUUGUUUCGUACGCUUCCGAAUUAAAAACCAGAUGAAGUUGUGUUCAACUUAAGAUGGAUAUAAGUUUGGGUUUUUUAAAAUGUCCUGCAUUUGCUUCGAUCAAUAAUACUACUAGAUUCGCGAUUAGCGCUUCAAAAACGGCCCGAAAAAUAAGACCACAAAUAAAUUUGUGGUCUUAUUUCAAAUUAGUAUGGUCCAAUCAUAGCCAACACUAAGACGUCAAAACGCUGCAAUGCGCGUUCAAAAACUGAGUAAAAAACCACCGUAACACCAAGGUUUUGGAAGGAAUAUCUUUUUUUGAUUUCCUAGUAGCCCCUUGUCGCUGUGCACAAUGGAUAUAUAUUGUCGCGAAAGAAAGAGGAGAAGAAAUAUUGAACCCUUAUAAAAAUUCUAGAAUUGUUCAAUGGUGGUGGCAAAUCAAUGCAAAAAAGUAUUAAAAAAACUUUAUAUGUAUGUGUAAAUAUUUUAAGCGUAUAUGCUGAAAAGGAUUUGUUUUCUGGGGGAAACGAACACAGCCAUAAAAUAAGCCUAAAUUAAACUGAUUAUAGAAAAAUUCAUUGAUAUAAGAUUACAUUAUAUUUGUAAAAAAGAAACGGCUCAUAUAAAAAUGACUUCUAAAAGACAGCUUUAUAACAAACUGAAUCUGUUUAAAGGUAAUUAAACCUACAUUAUUGUUUUAAUUACUUCUGUAUAAAGAAUACGUGGAAAACAUGUUUCGUGUUUCCUUUCAUAUUUUUUUUACUUUAUUCAAUUUUAUUUUUUAUCACCUAUUUGUUGUAAUAGCGGCAAUGUAAAAUAUUAUCUACUACUUUUUUGAAUCGGUCAAAAAUAGUUGCGACCAUACAAAACAAACCUAAAACAAAUAUGUAUAUACUGCAACUCUAUGUCUUUCAAUACUUACUGUGUUCUGAGCAUUGAAAUGUAAUACCAAGAACUACAUCUAGUUCCACAAUACAAUAAGCACGAAAUUUUAAACAAAUAUUUUUAACCUUAUAAAUUAGGCUUUAAGUAUCAUUUUAGAAUAAAUAUUUUUGUACUGAUGACUUUUUAUGUUCAAGUGACAUUUUAAAUUUAUUCCAUAAUAUUCUUUUUCUGACGAAAGGACCUAAAUACAUAUAUUUUGCAAUGGUAAUUAAACUUUAUAUUUAAGUAUUAAGGUUUAUAAUAAACUGAAGUCGUUAACAUUAUUAAA